GAUGAACGCUAGCGAUAGGCUUAACACAUGCAAGUCGAGGGGUAACGUGUUGGAAGCUUGCUUCCGAUGACGACGACCGGCGGAUGGGUGCGUAACGCGUAUGCAACUUGCCUCACAGUGGAGAAUAACCCGGAGAAAUCCGGACUAAUACUCCAUACACUCUUAAGUACGCCUGUACAUGAGAGGAAAGAUUUAUCGCUGUGAGAUAGGCAUGCGUCCUAUUAGGUAGUUGGUGAGGUAACGGCUCACCAAGCCGACGAUAGGUAGGGGUGCUGAGAGGCAGAUCCCCCACAUUGGGACUGAGACACGGCCCAAACUCCUACGGGAGGCAGCAGUGAGGAAUAUUGGUCAAUGGAGGAAACUCUGAACCAGCCAAGUCGCGUGAAGGAAGAAUGUCCUAAGGAUUGUAAACUUCUUUAGCGAGCGAGUAAGGACUUCCACGUGAUGGGGGUUUGAAAGUAGCUCGAGAAUAAGUAUCGGCUAACUCCGUG
Molecule: ribosomal RNA, 491 nt
Filed under: uncultured bacterium
Lineage: Bacteria
Description: partial 16S ribosomal RNA
Rfam family: Bacterial small subunit ribosomal RNA
Source: RNAcentral